UACGAAGGGGGCUAGCGUUGCUCGGAAUUACUGGGCGUAAAGCGCCCGUAGGCGGCUUUCUAAGUCGGGGGUGAAAUCCUGGAGCUCAACUCCAGAACUGCCUUCGAUACUGGAAAGCUCGAGUCCGGGAGAGGUGAGUGGAACUGCGAGUGUAGAGGUGAAAUUCGUAGAUAUUCGCAAGAACACCAGUGGCGAAGGCGGCUCACUGGCCCGGUACUGACGCUGAGGUGCGAAAGCGUGGGGAGCAAACAGG
Molecule: ribosomal RNA, 253 nt
Filed under: uncultured bacterium
Lineage: Bacteria
Description: partial 16S ribosomal RNA
Rfam family: Bacterial small subunit ribosomal RNA
Source: RNAcentral